GUGCAGUGCAAUGCAGUUCACAGAAGGGCAAGUGACCAGGAAGGAGGCGCCUGUGCUCUAAUGAGGAACAAAUUAGACAUGUUACUUGACUUUGUACCUUCAGCCCAGUCAUCUGAAAAACUGGGUGAGAGAGCAAGAGCAAAAUGGAAAACCAGAUGCUGCCUCCUCUGUGGGGCCCCGCAGGCUGGAUAGAAUGGCGUGGCAGGCUGCAUCUGGCCCCCGGGCCGCGUUUUGCCCACCCCCAUGCUAGCUUAUGUCUUACCCUUCUCUUCUAUUGAGCUUCAGCUUCCAGAUUUCGUCUUUGUCAAAGCAGCUUAGUAGCUGAUACUACCUUGCUGUGAAGGCAUUGAUACACUGCAAUCAAGUAACUUUUUAAUUUCCUUGAUGAUAAACUAAGCGCACUGAGCAUGUUAUGUCUCUUAUUGAAAAAUAGUGAGAGGUCUCAAAUAAUUUAUGUAGUUGCAGCUUAUUAUGGCUGCUUCAGUGGGCAAGGGACAGCUCUGAGUAUGCAGGCACAAAGGGUGGGCUUUUCAGAGACCCUAGGAAUUGAAAAAGCAGUGGCCAUUUCUGACUGUUGUAGCAGUUAGCUAAUAAGGGGGAGUCAUCAACUAUCAGUGCAGGUGACACCAGCCAGGAAGGUUGUAUAAAACAAGAGUACAGAGAUUUACAAGAUGCUGAACAAGGUGGAGGAAAUGAGAGAAGGUGGAAUCAUUCAAAAAGGAGACUUCGGAGUGGUAGGAAGAGAAAGGGAAGCAAGAAUCCAGGAAGGAGUGAUUGGUUAUGUUGAGCGUGGCAGACAGAUCAAGGAGAAUAAGAGCCCUUAAAUGUGACCAAAGGGACAUGACUUAACCUCAGAAACUGGAUUAAGAAACUGGAUUUCCAGCUGGGUACAAAAAGGAGUUUGAAGCAUUGGG
This is a long non-coding RNA of Alligator sinensis (Chinese alligator), 914 nucleotides long. RefSeq lists it as uncharacterized. The record is from RefSeq and is a predicted model, not a curated record. The transcript has 3 exons. NCBI's taxonomy places the organism in Eukaryota, Metazoa, Chordata, Crocodylia, Alligatoridae.